This 253-nucleotide unclassified non-coding RNA is filed under the name Hevea brasiliensis (rubber tree). The record is from RNAcentral. Lineage: Eukaryota; Viridiplantae; Streptophyta; Magnoliopsida; Malpighiales; Euphorbiaceae.
CACUCUGUUCUGGAUGGAAAGAAAGAAGGGAAGGAAAAUAGGAAGAAAGAGAGGACAAGAAGACUGAAUGAGAGAAAAAUAGGAGAACACGAGACAGAAAAGAGGAACUAAGAAAGAAUAGAGAAAGUGAAUGAGAAAUAGGGAAUCAGAGAGAGAAUUAGAAACCCUAGAAAGAGGGUUUCAACUCUGAGAAAAGAAGAAAUGGAGGAAAAAGAGAAGAAAUAGAAAGAGAUCAGAGAAAGAAGUUAGAGAA